CAGGGAAUCUUGCGCAAUGGACGAAAGUCUGACGCAGCGAUGCCGCGUGGGGGAUGACGGCCUUCGGGUUGUAAACCCCUUUCAGGAGGGACGAAAUUGACGGUACCUCCAGAAGAAGCCCCGGCCAACUACGUGCCAGCAGCCGCGGUAAUACGUAGGGGGCGAGCGUUGUCCGGAAUUAUUGGGCGUAAAGAGCUCGUAGGCGGCUUGGUAAGUCGGCCGUGAAAACCAAAGGCUCAACCUUUGGAUGUCGGUCGAUACUGCCAUGGCUAGAGUCCGGUAGAGGAGAGUGGAAUUCCCGGUGUAGCGGUGAAAUGCGCAGAUAUCGGGAGGAACACCAGUAGCGAAGGCGGCUCUCUGGGCCGGAACUGACGCUGAGGAGCGAAAGCGUGGGUAGCAAACA
RNAcentral lists this ribosomal RNA (403 nucleotides) under uncultured bacterium. RNAcentral's name for it is "bacterial SSU rRNA". It matches the Rfam family "Bacterial small subunit ribosomal RNA", at positions 355 to 774 of the family's 1533-position model. The record is from RNAcentral.